AUGUGGCUGUGCUUUCUCUGUCUGGCCUGGGUGACUUCUACUGUUGAUUUGAGUGAGGCCGUUUCUGUUAGUCAGCGGGAUCUUUCGCUAAUGCAGAUGGAGGGAGACAGUAUCACUUUGACCUGUACCUACACUGACGAUGGUUAUUACUUAUUCUGGUACCGUCAGUACCCAGGCAGACAGCCCGAGUUCACAGCCCGGCGCUACACGACUGGCAGUGCUGAAUUGAAGGCGGAUUUUGCUCAGACCCGGUUUUCUGAUGUAGUCCAGCAGAAAGACAAGUUGUAUCAAUUGACCAUCUCAGACCUGCAAUUGUCUGACGCAAUGGUCCAUUACUGUGCAAUGAGCCUCACAGUGAUAGGAACGAGUAAAAGCCUUGUACAAUAA
Non-coding RNA from Rhincodon typus (whale shark), 387 nucleotides. Lineage: Eukaryota; Metazoa; Chordata; Chondrichthyes; Orectolobiformes; Rhincodontidae. The record is from the annotation of a RefSeq genome assembly.